CCCUUCUCAGGGUCGCACCUGGAGAGUUCCCAGCAAUUCUACUAGUCUUGACUACAGGAGGGAGAGUCAAGCAGAGGCAUACCCAUUCCAUUCCUAGCUUGGGUGGUGGCUAGCGAGUGGAAGACCAUCUGCUACAAGU
Ornithorhynchus anatinus (platypus) is the source of this 139-nucleotide non-coding RNA. Lineage: Eukaryota; Metazoa; Chordata; Mammalia; Monotremata; Ornithorhynchidae. The record is from Rfam.